Tribolium madens (black flour beetle) is the source of this 493-nucleotide long non-coding RNA. RefSeq lists it as uncharacterized. The transcript is spliced from 3 exons. Lineage: Eukaryota; Metazoa; Arthropoda; Insecta; Coleoptera; Tenebrionidae. The record is from RefSeq and is a predicted model, not a curated record.
CCAGAUGUAAACGACGUUUCGUACUUAAUUUGUUCUUUAUGUGUGACGAAUGCCGCACCUUGAUUUCAUAUUUUGAGAGAAAAACGAUUUUUUAAAAAAGUUGACAAAAUGUUAUCAUUAAAACAAUGGUUUUUGUAUGUUUGUAUCGUAAUUAUUUUAAUUGAUAAUGUUCAAGGUGAAUCUAACAAAAACACAACUAAAAGCAAUUCUCAAACAAAACCUCAAAAAAUCGAAACUAAGGAAUCAAAAAAAACUGCUAUCCCGUGGUACAAACAUUCAUAUGCGAAGAGGCUUGAAUUCAUAUCAAGAAUGUUGCUAAGAAUUGCAUCAGCUGUAUUUAUGAUUUAUAUAGAAGAGUUUUUACUCUUUAUUCCAUUUAUUAAUAUGAUAUACGUACCCAUUGUCUAUGUGAUUCGAAAACUAUUUUAUGGUGUUUAAUUUCUUGUGAUGACAUGUAACAUUAAUUUGAAGAAUUAAAUGAUUUUAUAGCAAA